ACUGUUCAAGGACAACAGGCUUUAUAGUGCAAAUGUAACAACUGUAAUAAAAUGCCUAAUGAAGUUGAAAAUGUAUGCUGCUUGGAAAUACAAAAGGUUGUGAGGCAAAUGAACCAGGUUUCAGGCCCUCUACAAUGCAUGACACACCACCCAGGCUUCGAACCUAACUGUUUAAUUCCUUACACCCUCCAGAACAUUAAUAACAUUUACAGAGCUGAUUUUGGAUCCC
Long non-coding RNA from Sinocyclocheilus grahami, 229 nucleotides. RefSeq lists it as uncharacterized. NCBI's taxonomy places the organism in Eukaryota, Metazoa, Chordata, Actinopteri, Cypriniformes, Cyprinidae. The record is from RefSeq and is a predicted model, not a curated record. The transcript has 3 exons.